RNAcentral lists this ribosomal RNA (559 nucleotides) under Oliarus sp. 2 NS-2013. RNAcentral's name for it is "partial 16S ribosomal RNA". The record is from RNAcentral. Lineage: Eukaryota; Metazoa; Arthropoda; Insecta; Hemiptera; Cixiidae.
UUGUCGCCUGUUUAUCAAAAACAUCACCUCUAGCAUCACCAGUAUUUCCCUGGUUUACAAAAACAUGUUUUUUAGAUUUUUUUUAAAAGUUUAACCUGCUCUAUGAAUAUUUAAAUGGCCGCGGUAUUUUAACUGUGCUAAGGUAGCAUAAUAAUUAGUUUUUUAAUUGGGGUUUUGAAUGAAUGGUUGGACGAAAAAACAACUUUUUUAAUAAAAUUUUUUUUUAAUUUAAUUUUUUAGUUAAAAAGCUUAAAUAAUUAAGUGUGACGAUAAGACCCUGUAGAUCUUAAAAUAUUUAAUAAGUUCGUUUUUUUGUUGUUGUUGUAUGUUUUUUAUUUAAAUUUUUUUUGUUGGGGUGAUAAAAAAAUUUUUAAAACUUUUUUUUUUAUUUACAUUUAUUUAUGAAAAAUUUGAUCCUUUUACUUUUGAUUAUAAGAAAAAGAUACCUCAGGGAUAACAGCGUUAUAUAUUUGGAGAGUUCUUAUUGAUAAAUAUGUUUGCGACCUCGAUGUUGGAUUAAAAUUUACUUGUGGGGCAGAAUAUUCAAAGUUUAGGUCUU